RNAcentral lists this transfer RNA (76 nucleotides) under Uranoscopus sp. ZY-2022. Its description in RNAcentral is "tRNA-Lys". It matches the Rfam family "tRNA". From Rfam's summary of the family: Transfer RNA (tRNA) molecules are approximately 80 nucleotides in length. Their secondary structure includes four short double-helical elements and three loops (D, anti-codon, and T loops). Lineage: Eukaryota; Metazoa; Chordata; Actinopteri; Uranoscopiformes; Uranoscopidae. The record is from RNAcentral.
CGCUAAGAAGCUUAUUCGGGCCUUAAGCGUUAGCCUUUUAAGCUAAAGAAUGGUGCCCCCCAACCACCCCUAGCGA